UUUUCAGUUAUGUUGGCCUCAGAAAGUAUUUAUGAAAAGAAUAAUAAAUAAUUAAUUCAACUGGCUAGGAGCUGGAACUCCUCUCUGCCUCGACAAUAUACAUUGAAAUGCUGUUUAAAUUAUAAGAGCAAAUUGAUUCAAAAGGCUUCCAUUAGUGAGCUGGCAAACAGGUCUGAAGCCGGCUAAUAAAUUUUAGAUAAAGACAGUGCCUUUGAUGAGGAUGGCAACGCCGGAGUGCUGUUCUCGAGCCACCAGUGUGUUAAACAAGUGGCUAAAGUCUCGCCUCCUCCCCGUCUAAUAAGUCACUGCAUUAACCAUCAGCAGAGUCGGUCUCGGCGCCUGCCGUGAGCCUGGCAACUGCUUACAGAGCUGGGAGGCGACGGGCGAUCCGGGUUUCCAAUUUCAUGUCCCUUCCCACCACGCUAGUUUUUGGGGUUUUUUUUUGGUUGUUCCCCCCGCCUCUCCAUUUUUGGCCACCCCAUGGCACAUGGAGCUCCCAAGCAGGGAUCAGAUCUGAGCUGCAAUCUCGACCUAAGCUGCAGAUGCUGGGUCCUUAACUCACUGUGCCGGGCCAGGGGUUAAACCUGAGUCCCAGGAUGCCCCCAGUCCUGCUGCACCACAGUGGGAGCUCCCCACCACUCUGUUCUAACAGGUUUCACGGUAUAUUCAUCAAGGAGAAUUAGGCCCACCUGUGACAUAAAAAGUUCCACCUAUGCUGUGCCUUGCAGCCUAUCUAUGAGGAAAAAUUCUUAAUAAAAAUCAAGAAAUUAUGUGUAAAGGCCUUUGUUCCAUUCAGACAUGUAUCCUAUAAGCAGGUGGCAACGUGCCACUCGAGAUCACGGAAUAUUACACAGCUACUGAAAAGAGCAGGGGCAUUUACCAGCCUGGAAGGGAGACACCCACCAUCUUUGCCUUAGGGAGGCUGGAGCCGGCACCCACUUACUUUAGAAAAAGUCAACAAAGCCUCACUCGUGUGUGUUACACUCAUUACUGUCAGGGAAAAUGUGCAAGAAGUCGCCCCUGUGGCGCAUCUGGAUCGGCAGCAUCUGAGCAGCACCUGGACGCAGGUUCAAUCCCCAGCCCAAAACUCUGGGUGAAAGGAUCCGGUGUUGCCACAGCUGCAGCUCGGCCCUGAUCCCUGGCAGGGAUCUCCAUGUGCUGCAGGGCAGCCAAACAAGAAAAGAACAAAAAAAAAAAAGAUGUGUAAGAACAUACAAACUAUUAAUCAAGGUUACCUGGGGCAGGAGGUGGUGGUGAAGGGGGAAUAAGGAGCAAAAGAGGAGAGUUUAGUGCUCAAACGAGCAGGCGUCUAAUAUCAAAACAGUCAACAGAAAGGGUUUUACGGCUGGCACAUUAUCCUGAAAUGGGCAAGCCGUUUUUUCUUUUAGUUUCCUUCUACCUGGCCCAUUUGGGGAAGGCUGUCAAGGACCACUCUGCCCUUUCCUUCCAUCCGCCUUUCCACCCAGCCAACCAACAGCCAGUCCUAGGAAGGGGCGGGCUAAGAGGAUACGGGUCGGGAGUCAGCUGGAUCUGGAGGAGGAUGAGAAGGAUGCGGAUGAUGCGGGCUCCACUCACGGCUCGCUGUGCGGCUCCGGGCCACGCCCUCCAUGUCUUUCAAGUGCACAGCGACGGCAGGAACAACGCUGAGUAUAUGGAUAAGGAGCCUGGGUCAGCCUGAUCCACGUUCUCUCUUUGCCGCUGUGCACCUUCAGAUCUUGGCAUGGCUAGCUCUGGGCACAGUAAACCACGCUUGGCUGUAACGGUGCCAAGUGUUCUGAUAACACCAAAACACAGUACAGGGACUUGAUUACCAAGGAAUCCAAGUCUAACCCUCUUCAGGUUGAACCACUUGCCAAUGGCAGGAAAUGGCUAGGUUUUUUGUUUGGUUUUUGUCUUUUCAGGGCCACACCUGUGGCAUAUGGAGGUUCCCAGGCUAGGGGUCAAAUCGGAGCUGUAGCUGCUGGCCUGCACCACAGCCCCAGCAAUGCCAGAUUCAAGCUGUGUCUGUGACCUACACCACAACUCAUAACAAUGCUGGAUCCUUAAACCACGGAAAGAGGCCAGGGAUCAAACCCGAGCCCUCGUGGAUAGUAGUUGGGUUUGUUAACCCCUGCACCACGAUGGCAACUUCUCACAGAGUCACUCGUGAAGUGGAGCUACUAUGUCAUAGGCACAGCCUUGGGCCCACUAUUGGGGGAAGUGGAAUUUACAGACGAAACCCCAGAGCAGAUGCUUCUCCUCACUACAUGUGGACCUGAUGCAGCUCAAGGGAAUGGGAUGAGAGCCGUCCAGGGCAGGUUUCUUAGAAAGAGCAUCAUCUGUCAACAGCCGCUCAGCCCUCCACUUGGCAGGCUAGACGGGCAAGCCACAAGCACUCCGCGCUCCCAAGGCCCUGCAGACACUGCCCGGGCAGCGGUGAGGCGACACACACGGCUCGGGGCCCUCGGGGAGCAAUCCUCAGGAAAGUUCCCGACACUGAACGCUCACUUUCCAAUUCCAAUGGGCGACAAAAUGAAAUAUCCAAGUUGUGCAAAUGGAGAAAAUGAAGUGAGAACUUAGAGUUAUUUAUUUUUAAUUAAGCUCUUAAUUAUAUAACAACAAAACAAGCGAUUAAUUUCCACGUGGCUACAUUCAGCAUUCCACACUUAAAUGAGGCAGAAAAGAACAACUUCAGUGCGUUUUCUCUUCUUUCCUAGAUAAACAUAAGACAGAAAAUUGGGCGUGUGUGUCUGACAGAGAGAGACAGAGAAAGGUUCUGACACAGAGAUGGAUGAAAAUAAGAACUUGCAUUUGUUGGAGUUCCCGUCGUGGCGCAGUGGUUAACGAAUCCGACUAGGAACCAUGAGGUUAAAGGUUCGAUCCCUGGCCUUGCUCAGUGAGUUGAGGAUCUGGCAAUGCCGUGAGCUGUGGUGUAGGUUGCAGACGUGGCUUGGAUCUUGAGUUGCUGUGACUCUGGCGUAGGCCGGCAGCUACAGCUCUGAUUGGACCCCUAGCCUGGGAACCUCCGUAUGCUGCAGGAGCGACCCUAGAAAAGGCAAAAAAGACAAGAAAAAAAAACAGAUAAACCGUAUGAUUGGAGUGUUCACAGUAGCGAAUCCAGCCACAUUAGCUCAGUGAGUCCUCAGACAACCCCGCGCAGGGGCUACUCGUACUCCCUUUGGACUGAUGAGCAACCCCCAGUUCAGAAAGACCCAGGAGCUCGCCUAAGUCUCUGCCAGUGAGUGCAGAGCCAGGUCUGAUGCCAGCUCCAAUGAGUCUGCUGGCAACAGAUAUGCGCUCCCGACCCCCGCCCCCGGCCUUAGAGAAAAGCAACAGGAGAGGGAGAGAACCAAGGCAGAAGAGGAGGCUCCAGGAGGGGUCACCAAACCUUCUGGAAAGGCCCAGACAGGAAGUAUUUUACAGGCUUUAUGGGCAUGGUCUCUGUUCCAACUACUAGCCCUGCCACCCCAGGGCAAAGACAGCCACAGGAACAUAUAAACCAAGGAGCACGGGGCUGCGUUCCAAGCAAACUCUAGUUAUGGACACAGGACUCUGAUUUCCAUACAAUUUCCGUGAGCCACAAAACACGACAGGCCGACCUCGCAUUCUCAAUUCGCUGUGUUGUGCUCUGACGAUACCUCCCUCUACAAAUCUAACGUUUGGGGUGCCACUUUCCCAACGGCAUUGCUUCUAAAUUAGCGCUGUUUUUUCAGUUUGAUUUUUUUUUAGACGUAAUGCUAUUUGCACAGAGAAUAGACGGCAGGAGAGUGUAAAUAUCGCUUUGAUACACACUGGGAACCCCCCAAAUUCCUGUGACUCGACUCACCGUGGAGCUCAGGAGCUGAACCUGCAGGAUCUCCAAGGUCUGCCUGUACGCUUGAUUUUUUUCAGACAUACACAAAUGUAGAAAGCCCUUCUCAGCUCCAGGGCUGGACAAAAACACAUGGCGAGCCAGAUGCGGCCGACGAGCCGUGCUUCGCAGACCCUUUCCAGCAGAGCCAACGGGACUGCGCUGCAGCAUCAGACAGACCUGAGGCUGAGCAAUGUAACCCAAGGCCAGUUCCUUAACAGCUCCUACACCUGUCUCCAGGUUGGGCGGGGGGGGGGGGGGGGAAAUAAAGCAUCCACCCCAAGAUUUUAUCCCAAGAAGUUAACUGAAAUGAUGCAGAAUGAGACCAGAAUUAUCCUGGACACGGGACAGACAAUCCAUUCGGGUGUCCAUUCGCUGCACAGAUCACUGCUCGAGUCCCUGUUCUGGGCCAGGAACUAUUUUCCAAGCUGAAGAUGCAGCUGCAAAGAAAUCAAAAACCAGACAAGACGUUCUGCCCUCAAGGAGCUGGUAUUCCAGCUCCGCGGGUGUCCGGAGGAAAGCGGCACGCAGAGACCAGCUCAGGAAAACGAGUCAGCAAACAGGCUACUGCUCUGCCGUCAAUCAAAUCUUCCGAGUCACCCACCUGCAACGCAGCAGGGGGAACGCCCGGCACAGGAGGACACCGAGAAGGCCGCAGAGGGCAGAGCGCACGCUGGCCUGGGGGACACAGCAGUAGCUACGCCCCUCGCGAUCCUGGACGUGUGACUACAAGCAGCAGUUAAUGACGAGGAGGGAAGAGGAAGAGUCCACGGCGGCACCUGUGCUCCUGGCCAAGAGCAACCCUGCACCGAACCAAAGCCCCAGCUCGUCUCAAGCCCCGCGUGUCCACAGGAGUCCCUCUGCUUACACUGAAGAGAUGGGAGAAUUAAGGGGAACACACUCAACAGAAAAAGCGGUCAUCUCCUGAGCAUGGCUCGAGAAGGCGUCACAUCUCCACGUGCGUAAGAAUAAAACUUCUUAACUCAUCUCUCGGCACCCUGAUGUGGGGGCCCCAAACAGCCUCUCAGGCUGGUCACCAGGAGAAAAGUCGCCUUGUGGGCUGUAACUCACCUUCUCCCAAGUGGGUCCCUGGGGCCCUCCAUGGUGACCAGCAAAUUCAUGCUAAAUCUCACUUCAGAAUGAUGGAGACCCAACAAGUGACCUCCGGUAUAGCAUCCACAGCUACGCUCAGGGCGGAUGGCCAGAAACAAGCCACCCGGAGAAAAACGUGUACCUCACCGCUCCGCGGCAAAAAGCUUCCACAGCCGAACCCGAACUUCUCUGCUGCAGUAAAGGAAAGGGUGUGAGAUGGCAAAACGGCCCGAUCUUCAAAGGAUGAAAUACAGCGAGG
Molecule: long non-coding RNA, 5180 nt
Filed under: Sus scrofa (pig)
Lineage: Eukaryota; Metazoa; Chordata; Mammalia; Artiodactyla; Suidae
Description: lncRNA (ENSSSCG00050034063.1)
Source: RNAcentral